UGCCAGUGAUAAACUGGAGGAAGGUGGGGAUGACGUCAAGUCAUCAUGGCCCUUACGACCAGGGCUACACACGUGCUACAAUGGCGCAUACAAAGAGAAGCGACCUCGCGAGAGCAAGCGGACCUCAUAAAGUGCGUCGUAGUCCGGAUUGGAGUCUGCAACUCGACUCCAUGAAGUCGGAAUCGCUAGUAAUCGUGGAUCAGAAUGCCACGGUGAAUACGUUCCCGGGCCUUGUACACACCGCCCGUCACACCAUGGGAGUGGGUUGCAAAAGAAGUAGGUAGCUUAACCUUCGGGAGGGCGCUUACCACUUUGUGAUUCAUGACUGGGGUGAAGUCGUAACAAGGUAACCGUAGGGGAACCUGCGG
RNAcentral lists this ribosomal RNA (368 nucleotides) under Salmonella enterica subsp. enterica serovar Bredeney. RNAcentral's name for it is "bacterial SSU rRNA". It matches the Rfam family "Bacterial small subunit ribosomal RNA", at positions 1150 to 1517 of the family's 1533-position model. The record is from RNAcentral. Lineage: Bacteria; Pseudomonadati; Pseudomonadota; Gammaproteobacteria; Enterobacterales; Enterobacteriaceae. RNAcentral also lists the same sequence under 1 other name.